RNAcentral lists this ribosomal RNA (400 nucleotides) under phytoplankton environmental sample. Its description in RNAcentral is "partial small subunit ribosomal RNA". It matches the Rfam family "Eukaryotic small subunit ribosomal RNA", at positions 587 to 984 of the family's 1831-position model. The record is from RNAcentral.
AGCUCCAUUAGCGUAUAUUAAAGUUGUUGCAGUUAAAAAGCUCGUAGUUGGAUUUGGGACUGGAGUCGUCGGGUCGGCCGCGAGGUCUGUUACUUGGCGGCUCUGUCAUUACAAUUCCCAGAGACCUGUCGUGUGCUUGACUGUACGCGGCACGGGAUUUGGGACGUUUACUUUGAAAAAAUUAGAGUGUUCAAAGCAGGCUUUCACAGCCCGAAUACAUGAGCAUGGAAUAAUGGAAUAGGACCGCGGUUCUAUUUUGUUGGUUUCUACAACCACAAUAAUAAUUAAGAGGGACAAUUGAGGGCAUCCGUAUUUCGUUGUCAGAGGCGAAAUUCUUAGAUUUACGAAAGACGAACAACUGCGAAAGCAUUUGCCAAGAGUGUUUUCAUUAAUCAAGAAC